UUUAUAGCUAAGCGGUUAUAGCAUACGCUUGAUAAGCGUAAGGUCGAAAGUUCAAAUCUUUCUAAAU
This 67-nucleotide transfer RNA is filed under the name Hemiselmis tepida. It matches the Rfam family "tRNA". Rfam says of the family: Transfer RNA (tRNA) molecules are approximately 80 nucleotides in length. Their secondary structure includes four short double-helical elements and three loops (D, anti-codon, and T loops). Further hydrogen bonds mediate the characteristic L-shaped molecular structure. tRNAs have two regions of fundamental functional importance: the anti-codon, which is responsible for specific mRNA codon recognition, and the 3' end, to which the tRNAs corresponding amino acid is attached (by aminoacyl-tRNA synthetases). tRNAs cope with the degeneracy of the genetic code in two manners: having more than one tRNA (with a specific anti-codon) for a particular amino acid; and 'wobble' base-pairing, i.e. permitting non-standard base-pairing at the 3rd anti-codon position. Lineage: Eukaryota; Cryptophyceae; Cryptomonadales; Hemiselmidaceae. The record is from RNAcentral.